Molecule: ribosomal RNA, 407 nt
Filed under: Saccharomyces cerevisiae (brewer's yeast)
Lineage: Eukaryota; Fungi; Ascomycota; Saccharomycetes; Saccharomycetales; Saccharomycetaceae
Description: eukaryotic LSU rRNA
Rfam family: Eukaryotic large subunit ribosomal RNA
Source: RNAcentral
AUGCUUAGUACGGCGAGUGAGCGGCAAAGCUCAAUUUGAAAUCUGGUACCUUCGGUGCCCGAGUUGUAAUUUGGAGAGGGCAACUUUGGGGCCGUUCCUUGUCUAUGUUCCUUGGAACAGGACGUCAUAGAGGGUGAGAAUCCCGUGUGGCGAGGAGUGCGGUUCUUUGUAAAGUGCCUUCGAAGAGUCGAGUUGUUUGGGAAUGCAGCUCUAAGUGGGUGGUAAAUUCCAUCUAAAGCUAAAUAUUGGCGAGAGACCGAUAGCGAACAAGUACAGUGAUGGAAAGAUGAAAAGAACUUUGAAAAGAGAGUGAAAAAGUACGUGAAAUUGUUGAAAGGGAAGGGCAUUUGAUCAGACAUGGUGUUUUGUGCCCUCUGCUCCUUGUGGGUAGGGGAAUCUCGCAUUUC